Potamilus streckersoni is the source of this 74-nucleotide non-coding RNA. The record is from the annotation of a GenBank genome assembly. Lineage: Eukaryota; Metazoa; Mollusca; Bivalvia; Unionida; Unionidae.
CGCUCAGGUGGCCUAGUGGUUAGAACGUCUACCUUGGAUGCAGGAGGUAGUGGGUUAGAUCCCCGGUUGAGUCA